Molecule: long non-coding RNA, 794 nt
Organism: Triticum aestivum (bread wheat)
Lineage: Eukaryota; Viridiplantae; Streptophyta; Magnoliopsida; Poales; Poaceae
Exons: 2
Source: RefSeq, a predicted model, not a curated record
UUUUAAUGUGAAGGUUCAAAAUAUUAACUGCUUGAAAUGAGGUGGCCAUUUCAUCAAGAGAUUAGAAAUUCUAUUCACACUGGCAAAAAUAUGCUUACUGGACAACUGUUGUCUAAUUUCUGUGACCUUAUUUAGUUUCAGUUUGUGUUGUCUGCGGCACAGACACUCAUUUCAAAGGCAGGGCUGCGUCAACGAUGCGCGUCAAUAAUUAGGCUGAUGGAAAUAGCAAACUUUGGGCGCGGUCUCCUCGAUCCUGUCAUGCUCAACUUUUUCACCCUCUAAACCUGGUAAUAUUACCCUACCCUGAGAUCCUUGCCCUCAAGAUUCAUCAAUAGCUUCUGUAAUAAUCGUGUAGCAGUGUCCAGCUCAGUGCCAAGGCGAAGGGAAGCCCCAAUCACCAAGAUGGCGGAGAAGCUUCUGUAUUGUCGUCUUGGCAUCACAGAAGAGGGUGUUCCAAGGCCGUCUGCCAUCCAUUGCCAUCGAUGCAUUGCGCGCCCUCUUCCAACUUGACUGUGACCUCUCCACAGCCAUCGAAGAUGCUCCUGUUGCCCAUGGAGUGAUCUGGACCGCCAAAGACACACAGAUGGUUGUGGUUUCCGCUGUGGUCGAGUUCCCUGAUCGUAGCUUAGUCUUUUGUGAGAUGUGUGUUGAGAUGCUGCUUGCUGUACCAACCAGCAGUCUGCUUCUCGUGAUGUUCCCCUUGCUGUACCAACCAGCAGUUUGUUUACCCUGUUGGGCAACUGUAGGGGUUGUGAAAUGUAGGUAACGUCUCUAAAUGAUGACUAUGAUGUUUA